Molecule: long non-coding RNA, 603 nt
Organism: Hemicordylus capensis (graceful crag lizard)
Lineage: Eukaryota; Metazoa; Chordata; Lepidosauria; Squamata; Cordylidae
Exons: 2
Source: RefSeq, a predicted model, not a curated record
UGCUGCACACUCUCAAAUCUGCUCCUAAUGACUGGUGGACCGUGGGGCAGGGUACUGCAGCAGGAAAGAGGGAUCAGCAAAAAAUACAAUACCCCCCCCCCCAGAAUGCCAGCAGACUUCGGACAAAAGUAGACAUCACUGCACAAUUUUGGAUAUAACCCAAAGUUUCCUGGCAGCUAAAGACAAGGAAUGUAGGUCUGAUGAAAUACUGAAGUUUCUUUGACCUGAAGUUAAACAGGACAUAAUUCCUCAGGAUGCGUGACUCUGUCCAAAGACUGACAUGUGCCUCUGGCACUGAGGACAUAUCUAGUCUUCAGAAAUGAAUGAAGUGGCAGGAUGCCAAAUGUCAUGUAUUAAAGACCUUGUCUCACUUCGGUCAGCAACACGGAAAUGCAGAGUUUAGCACAUUGCCUGCCUCAGGAACAGAGUGAUAUGAUAACUGUGUGAUCUUCUGAUGUCUUGUGCUUGUAUGGCAUAUAUGUGGAAGACAAGUAAUUCACAUUCAGGUCACAGUGUUAACAGAGUUGAUGUUUUGUAAGAAGAUUUGUGAGGAAGCCUCUAGAUUUAUAAGUGAAAAAUCUGCUAAUAAAUAUAUAAUCCGAU